This 71-nucleotide transfer RNA is filed under the name Phalansterium sp. PJK-2012. RNAcentral's name for it is "tRNA-Trp". It matches the Rfam family "tRNA". Rfam says of the family: Transfer RNA (tRNA) molecules are approximately 80 nucleotides in length. Their secondary structure includes four short double-helical elements and three loops (D, anti-codon, and T loops). Lineage: Eukaryota; Evosea; Variosea. The record is from RNAcentral.
GGGGGAAUAGUUUAACGGCAAAAUAAAGUUCUCCAAAAACUUUGAUGAGAGUUCGAACCUCUCUUCCCCUG